Molecule: ribosomal RNA, 496 nt
Filed under: uncultured bacterium
Lineage: Bacteria
Description: partial 16S ribosomal RNA
Rfam family: Bacterial small subunit ribosomal RNA
Source: RNAcentral
AUGAACGCUGGCGGCGUGCCUAAUACAUGCAAGUCGAGCGAACAGACGAGGAGCUUGCUCCUCUGACGUUAGCGGCGGACGGGUGAGUAACACGUGGAUAACCUACCUAUAAGACUGGGAUAACUUCGGGAAACCGGAGCUAAUACCGGAUAAUAUAUUGAACCGCAUGGUUCAAUAGUGAAAGACGGUUUUGCUGUCACUUAUAGAUGGAUCCGCGCCGCAUUAGCUAGUUGGUAAGGUAACGGCUUACCAAGGCAACGAUGCGUAGCCGACCUGAGAGGGUGAUCGGCCACACUGGAACCGAGACACGGUCCAGACUCAUACGGGAGGCAGCAGUAGGGAAUCUUCCGCAAUGGGCGAAAGCCUGACGGAGCAACGCCGCGUGAGUGAUGAAGGUCUUCGGAUCGUAAAACUCUGUUAUUAGGGAAGAACAAAUGUGUAAGUAACUAUGCACGUCUUGACGGUACCUAAUCAGAAAGCCACGGCUAACUACGUG